RNAcentral lists this unclassified non-coding RNA (379 nucleotides) under uncultured Actinomycetes bacterium. Its description in RNAcentral is "uncultured actinobacterium contains 16S-23S intergenic spacer region". Lineage: Bacteria; Bacillati; Actinomycetota; Actinomycetes. The record is from RNAcentral.
UCCGGUUUGGCACCGGCAGUCUCCAAUGAGUCCCCGGCAUUACCCGCUGGCAACAUUGGACAGGGGUUGCGCCCGUUGCGCCACUUAAGGCAACACCUCACGACACGAGCUGACGACAGCCAUGCACCACCUGUGAUGGUGUCCCGAAGGAAAGGUGUGUUUCCACACCGGUCACCAACAUGUCAAGCCCAGGUAAGGUUCUUCGCGUUGCGUCGAAUUAAGCCACAUGCUCCGCCGCUUGUGCGGGCCCCCGUCAAUUCCUUUGAGUUUUAGCCUUGCGGCCGUAGUCCCCAGGCGGGGUGCUUAACGCGUUAGCUGCGGCACAGGAUCCGUGGAUAGGACCCCACACCUAGCACCCAUCGUUUACGGCGUGAACUAC